GAUGAACGCUGGCGGCGUGCCUAAUACAUGCCAGUCGAGCGAACGGACGAGAAGCUUGCUUCUCUGAUGUUAGCGGCGGACGGGUGAGUAACACGUGGAUAACCUACCUAUAAGACUGGGAUAACUUCGGGAAACCGGAGCUAAUACCGGAUAAUAUUUUGAACCGCAUGGUUCAAAAGUGAAAGACGGUCUUGCUGUCACUUAUAGAUGGAUCCGCGCUGCAUUAGCUAGUUGGUAAGGUAACGGCUUACCAAGGCAACGAUGCAUAGCCGACCUGAGAGGGUGAGCGGACACACGGGAAGUGAGAAACGGAACAGACGCCGACGGGAGGAAGCAGUAGGGAAUAUUACGCAAUGGGCGAAAGCAUGACAGAGCAAAGCAGAGUGAGUGAUGAAGGUCUUCGGAUCGUAAAAAUCUGUUAUGAGGGAAGAAAAUAUGUGUAAGUAACUGUGCACAGAUUGACGGUACAUAAUCAGAAAGCCACGGCUAACUACGUG
RNAcentral lists this ribosomal RNA (497 nucleotides) under uncultured bacterium. RNAcentral's name for it is "partial 16S ribosomal RNA". It matches the Rfam family "Bacterial small subunit ribosomal RNA", at positions 28 to 507 of the family's 1533-position model. The record is from RNAcentral.